GGGUCGGAAAAGUAGGGUGCCAUCUGUCUUCCAAACAGAUGAUGCGAGUUCGAUUCUCGUCCGCCCCU
RNAcentral lists this transfer RNA (68 nucleotides) under Rathayibacter sp. PhB93. Its description in RNAcentral is "tRNA-Gly". It matches the Rfam family "tRNA". Rfam says of the family: Transfer RNA (tRNA) molecules are approximately 80 nucleotides in length. Their secondary structure includes four short double-helical elements and three loops (D, anti-codon, and T loops). RNAcentral also lists the same sequence under 1 other name. Lineage: Bacteria; Bacillati; Actinomycetota; Actinomycetes; Micrococcales; Microbacteriaceae. The record is from RNAcentral.